This 253-nucleotide ribosomal RNA is filed under the name uncultured bacterium. Its description in RNAcentral is "partial 16S ribosomal RNA". It matches the Rfam family "Bacterial small subunit ribosomal RNA", at positions 524 to 776 of the family's 1533-position model. The record is from RNAcentral.
UACGGGGGGGGUAAGCGUUGUUCGGAAUUACUGGGCGUAAAGGGUUCGUAGGUGGCCUACUAAGUCAGACGUGAAAUCCCUCAGCUUAACUGGGGAACUGCGUCUGAUACUGGGGGGCUUGAGUGCAGGAGAGGGAAGCGGAAUUUCAGGUGUAGUGGUGAAAUGCGUAGAUAUCUGAAGGAACACCAGUGGCGAAGGCGGCUUUCUGGCCUAUUCUUGACGCUGAGGCGCGAAAGCUAGGGGAGCGAACGGG